RNAcentral lists this ribosomal RNA (776 nucleotides) under uncultured Neocallimastigales. RNAcentral's name for it is "partial large subunit ribosomal RNA". It matches the Rfam family "Eukaryotic large subunit ribosomal RNA", at positions 23 to 647 of the family's 3401-position model. The record is from RNAcentral. Lineage: Eukaryota; Fungi; Neocallimastigomycota; Neocallimastigomycetes; Neocallimastigales.
AGAGAGAGACAUGCGCGCAUAUCAAUAAGCGGAGGAAAAGAAACUAACUAGGAUUCCCUUAGUAACGGCGAGUGAAGCGGGAAGAGCUCAAAUUUGAAAUCUUCAAGGUUCUACCUUGACGAAUUGUAGUUUAAAGAAGUGUUUUCUGUUGGAGUUUUGGUAAAAGUUCUUUGGAAUAGGACAUCAUAGAGGGUGAGAAUCCCGUAUUUGACCAUUAUUUCCAGCUUUGUCGAUACACUUUCAAAGAGUCGGAUUGUUUGGGAAUGCAGUCCAAAAUGGGUGGUAAAUUUCAUCUAAAGCUAAAUAUUGGCGAGAGACCGAUAGCGAACAAGUACCGUGAGGGAAAGAUGAAAAGAACUUUGAAAAGAGAGUUAAACAGUACGUGAAAUUGUCAAAAGGGAAGCGUUUGACACCAGUGUUGUUUUCUCGAAAAUCAAUUAAAAAAGGCAGGAUUUUGUGUUGUAUUGACUUUAUCAGCUUUCUGCACUCCUUUCUUGUCUUUUUUAAUGCACUUUUCGUUUAACAAGUCAACAUCAAUUUCUUUUGUUGUAAAAGGGUCAUUGGAAGGUGGCUUUCUUUUCGGAGAAAGUGUUUAUAGCCUUUGGCCUCUGCAAUCGGAGAGAUUGAGGUCUGCAGCGUAGAUCCUUCGGGGUUAGAUACAUUUGUGCUAAGUUAUAGCCUUUCAUAGACAACUUGUUGACUAUGAUCUGUCAUGUAGCUUACUCGCUUAUGCUAUUUUACCUACGCUUAGGAUGUUGAUGUGAUACUGCGAGCAA